GAAUGGUAGAAAGCAGUCUUCAGCCUGAGACCCAUCCCUAGACUCUAUGGCACAAAGAGGCACUACAGAAAAUCCCAGAAUUUAUUCUGACUGAAGCAAUAUGCAACUGGCAAAACUGGCAGCUGAAAGGAUCCUGAAUAAGAAGUUUACUUUAUCAGGACACAGAACUUAACUUGACAACCAGAGUCUUACAUUUAAAAAUACCUGAAUAAAACUCACUCACUAACUCAGAAGAAAUUUGAAAGACUAUGAAAAUCUUUGAAUACAAUGUAGAAGUUUUUAUUCCAAAACAGUGAAAAGGAGAGAGAGUAGAAGAGGAGAGAAGAGAGGAAGGAAGAAAAGGAGAGAAGAUGAGAAAAAAAAGCAAGUAGUGUCUUAAAUGGGAGAAAAAGUGAUAAGGAAAUAGUUUAAUUUAUUAAAGUCAAAGUUCAAUAAAAGUAAAUUAACUGC
Molecule: long non-coding RNA, 450 nt
Filed under: Homo sapiens (human)
Lineage: Eukaryota; Metazoa; Chordata; Mammalia; Primates; Hominidae
Description: HSALNT0325703
Source: RNAcentral